Molecule: long non-coding RNA, 982 nt
Organism: Herpailurus yagouaroundi (jaguarundi)
Lineage: Eukaryota; Metazoa; Chordata; Mammalia; Carnivora; Felidae
Exons: 5
Source: RefSeq, a predicted model, not a curated record
GAUUCCAAAAGUCUAAGGAGAAUUAGAGAUACAAGGGAAAACUAAGACAUGACUAUAGACUCGAAGACCAGCAACAAAAGUCCACCAAGUGAGUAGCCCCCAUACCAUCUGGGCUGGUCCCAUACUUGAGGGGAUCCUGAGGAAUGCUCCAGUAAACUGCUAGACGUUAUUUCCUUAAAGCUUCAAGAGGAAACUAAAAUUAAAAUUAAUGGCCUUCUUCCCUGAGCUAAAAGAAACCAUGUACCCAGGGGGAAAGAAAAACAUUCCAAAGACCAACAGCUCUAAAUCUAGAACACAGGAACUACCAACCAAAUGAUCUCCCUAAGACAGACAAGGAACGACAGGAAUGACUGACUUGGAGAAUGUGAACUGGACACCAUGACCUGUGAACAGCACACAGAUAUUCAGCAAAAAUUGUGAGAACUCCCGAGCAGUAGCUGGGAGGAGCUGCCCCAUAUCACAUGCGAAGAGCUCUUAACGGAAGAGCUUUAAACAGAAAAAACGACAGACCAGAAAUUAUAAUCCCGUUAAGGAAUCUGCCUUGAUUUGUAAGACCUGAAACCGACUAGGCGAGAGACAUUUUGCAUCCCGUUCCAUCAAAAGUGCUCUGGGAUUAUAAAGGUUCAAUGCAUUGAACAUACAGCAUCACAGACACAGGAGGAACCUCAAGGAUGUCCAUCAGCCCAGGACCUUUGUCUUCUGGGAGAGAACACCUACUUCCAGGGACAGGGGAUAGACUUAACCGGGUCAAACGGCAAGAAUGUCACCAGCCACACCUGCCACCUCUCCAGUACACAACCAUAGUGUAGCAGGAUUCUGCCACAGAGAGUCAUGACACGGAGGCUUUUCUUUCCAGGAAGCAACUUUAUUCCUGCCGACACCGCUCCGUUGGGUUCUUAGCCAAAGAACUGAGCCCCGAACGCUACGUGGCCUAGUUUUUUAAUGUAUUUUUUUCCUUCUUUGUCUCCCAUAUACGGUAACA